RNAcentral lists this ribosomal RNA (2898 nucleotides) under Xylanibacter muris. RNAcentral's name for it is "23S ribosomal RNA". It matches the Rfam family "Bacterial large subunit ribosomal RNA". Lineage: Bacteria; Pseudomonadati; Bacteroidota; Bacteroidia; Bacteroidales; Prevotellaceae. The record is from RNAcentral.
GAGAAAGUACGAAAGGGCGCAUGGCGGAUGCCUUGGCUCACAGAGGCGAUGAAGGACGUGAUAAGCUGCGAUAAGCCGCGGUGAGGUGCAAAUGACCUUUGACCCGCGGAUUUCCGAAUGGGACAACCCAAUACCUUUUCAGGUAUUAUCCCGUCUUUAUUUCGGGAGGCGAACCGGGGGAACUGAAACAUCUUAGUACCCCGAGGAGAAGAAAAUAACAAUGAUUCCCCCAGUAGUGGCGAGCGACCGGGGAAGAGCCCAAACCCGCACCGUAUCAUUGCGUUGCGGGGGUUGUAGGACCACGACACGGUACAUUUAAGGCGAGCGGAAUCCUCUGGAAAGGGGAUCCGUAGAGGGUGACAGACCCGUACGCGCAGCCUUCGAUGACCCAGUGUAAUCCUGAGUAGCGCGGGACACGAGUAAUCCUGUGUGAAUCAGCCGGGCCCAUCCGGCAAGGCUAAAUACUCCUGUGAGACCGAUAGUGUACCAGUACCGUGAGGGAAAGGUGAAAAGAACCCCCAUGAGGGGAGUGAAAUAGAUCCUGAACCCAUGCGCCUUCAAGCGGUCGGAGCAUGUUAAUCAUGUGACGGCGUGCCUUUUGCAUAAUGAACCUACGAGUUGCCGUCGCCGGCGAGGUUAAGGAUGAGGACAUCCCGAGCCGCAGUGAAAGCGAGCCUGAAGAGGGCGUUUAAGUCGGCGGUGGCAGACGCGAAACCAAGUGAUCUACACUUGGCCAGGGUGAAGUCCCGGUAACACGUGAUGGAGGCCCGAACCGAUAAGCGUUGAAAAGCUUCCGGAUGAGCCGAGUGUAGGAGUGAAAGGCCAAUCAAACUUGGAGAUAGCUCGUACUCCCCGAAAGGCAUUUAGGUGCCGCGUCGGGUGUUCGCCGUGAGAGGUAGAGCGACCGGUAGGAUGCGAGGGCUUCACCGCCUGUCAAGUCCUGACGAACUCCGAAUGCUCACGGCUUGUAGCCCUGCAGUAAGGGGGCGGGUGCUAAGGUCCGUCCCCGAGAGGAGAAGAAUCCAGACCGCCGUCUAAGGUCCCGGAAUUCUGCCUGAGUUAGUCUAACGAAGUCCGGUCCCUGUGACAGCUAGGAUGUUGGCUUGGAAGCAGCCAUUCAUUCAAAGAGUGCGUAACAGCUCACUAGUCGAGGGUCCGGGCGUGGAUAAUAAUCGGGUAUAAGGCAGAUACCGAAGGCGCGGGAUAGCAAAUUAUAAAAGUAUCGGUAGGGGAGCAUUCCGUCUCCGUUGAAUGCGAGUGGUGACCCUCGCUGGAGGAUUCGGAAAAGCAAAUGUAGGUAUAAGUAACGAUAAGGGGAAUGAGAUAUUCCCCCGCCGCAAGACCAAGGUUUCCCGGGCAAUGUUGUUCACCCCGGGGUUAGUCGGUCCCUAAGUCUCAGCCGAACGGCGAAGGCGAUGGCAGACACGGUUGAUAUUCCGUGACUGCCGCACGGAGCGACGCGGUGACGGAGCAGUGAAACCGCCGCGGACAGACGGAAUUGUCCGUUGACGGGUGUAGGCGUUGAUUACGGCGGUAAAGUACACCGUAAGAGCCGACCCCUAUAGUACGGCCUCCCCCUCGGGGGCGGCCGAUAGUGCGGGUAACCAUACUCCCGAGAAAAACCGCUAAGCUUGAUCCGUGCGGCAUCCGUACCGCAAACGGACACACGUGGUCGUGUAGAGUAUACUGAGGCGUUGAGAGACUCAUGGUUAAGGAACUAGGCAAACUGGCCCCGUAACUUCGGGAUAAGGGGUCCUCGCAUUAAUGUGAGGCGCAGAGCAUAGGUCCAGGCAACUGUUUAACAAAAACACAGGGCUGUGCCAACUCGAAAGAUGACGUAUACAGCCUGACACCUGCCCGGUGCCGGAAGGUUAAGAGGAGAUGUCACCGCAAGGGAAGCAUUGAAUUGAAGCCCCGGUAAACGGCGGCCGUAACUAUAACGGUCCUAAGGUAGCGAAAUUCCUUGUCGGGUAAGUUCCGACCUGCACGAAUGGUGUAAUGAUCCGGACGCUGUCUCAACCAUGAUCUCAGUGAAAUUGUAGUAUCGGUGAAGAUGCCGAUUACCCGCGAUGGGACGAAAAGACCCCGUGAACCUUUACUGCAGCUUAGCACUGACCUCGGUCAUCCUGUGUGUAGGAUAGGCCGGAGGCUCUGAAGCCGUGUCGCCAGGCACGGUGGAGCCGACGUUGAAAUACGGCCCUCUGGCUGUCUGAGGUCUAACGCGCAUAUUAGCGCGGACACUGCUUGGCGGGCAGUUUGACUGGGGUGGUCGCCUCCAAAAGCGUAACGGAGGCUUCCAAAGGUGCCCUCGGGCCGAUUGGUAACCGGCCUUACAGAGUGCAAUGGCAUAAGGGCGCUUGACUGGGAGGGAGACAUCCCGAUCAGGCAGGAAACUGGGGCAUAGUGAUCCGGCGGUUCCGUAUGGAAGGUCCGUCGCUCAAAGGAUAAAAGGUACUCCGGGGAUAACAGGCUGAUCCCCCCCAAGAGCUCAUAUCGACGGGGUGGUUUGGCACCUCGAUGUCGGCUCGUCACAUCCUGGGGCUGGAGAAGGUCCCAAGGGUUGGGCUGUUCGCCCAUUAAAGUGGCACGCGAGCUGGGUUCAGAACGUCGUGAGACAGUUCGGUCUCUAUCUAUCGUGGGCGCAGGAGUCUUGCGUGGUGCCGUCACUAGUACGAGAGGACCGUGACGGACAGACCUCCGGUUUGCCGGUUGUGCCGCCAGGUGCACGGCCGGGUAUCCGCGUCUGGUCAGGAUAAGCGCUGAAAGCAUCUAAGUGCGAAGCCGUCCGCAAGAUUAGGGCUCCUUUGAGGGUCGUCGCAGACUACGACGUUGAUAGGGCGCAGGUGUAUAGACGGUGACGUCACAGCCGAGCGCUACUAAUUGCCCGAAACUUUCCUC